This 149-nucleotide non-coding RNA is filed under the name Volvox carteri f. nagariensis. RNAcentral describes it as "Eukaryotic large subunit ribosomal RNA". It matches the Rfam family "Eukaryotic large subunit ribosomal RNA", at positions 3009 to 3159 of the family's 3401-position model. The record is from Rfam by way of RNAcentral. Lineage: Eukaryota; Viridiplantae; Chlorophyta; Chlorophyceae; Chlamydomonadales; Volvocaceae.
UUCCAUCAUAGCAACACGGCUCAGUACGAAAGGAACCACCGUGUACGAUAAUUGAUAAUGCCCUUGCCUGAAAAGGCAAGGCAGCAAAGCUAACAUCUGAAGUCCAAUGACUGACCGCCUCUGAGUCAGAAGACAUGCUAGGUGCGGAG